This 253-nucleotide ribosomal RNA is filed under the name uncultured bacterium. Its description in RNAcentral is "partial 16S ribosomal RNA". It matches the Rfam family "Bacterial small subunit ribosomal RNA", at positions 524 to 776 of the family's 1533-position model. The record is from RNAcentral.
UACAGGGGGUGCAAACGUUGCUCGGAAUCACUGGGCGUAAAGCGCACGUAGGCGGCUUCUUAAGUCAGGGGUGAAAUCCUGGAGCUCAACUCCAGAACUGCCUUUGAUACUGAGGAGCUUGAGUCCGGGAGAGGUGAGUGGAACUGCGAGUGUAGAGGUGAAAUUCGUAGAUAUUCGCAAGAACACCAGUGACGAAGGCGGCUCACUGGCCCGGUACUGACGCUGAGGUGCGAAAGCGUGGGGAGCAAACAGG